This 200-nucleotide ribosomal RNA is filed under the name uncultured bacterium. RNAcentral's name for it is "partial 16S ribosomal RNA". It matches the Rfam family "Bacterial small subunit ribosomal RNA", at positions 8 to 240 of the family's 1533-position model. The record is from RNAcentral.
AGAGUUUGAUCCUGGCUCAGGAUGAACGCUGGCGGCGUGGAUAAGGCAUGCAAGUCGAAUGGGUUUAGGCCCAUGGCAGACGAGGUAGUAACACGUAGGAACGUACCCCGAAGUCGGGCAUAUACCAUCGAAAGAUGGAGCAAUUCCCGAUGGUCUCGCAAGAGUAAAGAUUUAUCGCUUCGGGAGCGGCCUGCGUAAUA